UACGUAGGGGGCAAGCGUUGUCCGGAUUUAUUGGGCGUAAAGAGCGUGUAGGCGGCCAGAUAGGUCUGUUGUGAAAACUCGAGGCUCAACCUCGAGACGCCGAUGGAAACCAUCUGGCUAGAGUCCGGAAGAGGAGAGUGGAAUUCCUGGUGUAGCGGUGAAAUGCGCAGAUAUCAGGAAGAACACCCGUGGCUAAGGCGGGUCUCUGGGCAACAACUGACGCUGAGGAGCGAAAGCGUGGGGAGCGAACAGG
This 253-nucleotide ribosomal RNA is filed under the name uncultured bacterium. RNAcentral's name for it is "partial 16S ribosomal RNA". It matches the Rfam family "Bacterial small subunit ribosomal RNA", at positions 524 to 776 of the family's 1533-position model. The record is from RNAcentral.